AUCAAUUCACGAACUCAUAUUAUGUACACUGCCUGGCUAUUAUUCAAGAAGAAGAAGAGAGAAUAUUUAUCUUACACGGCCUGCUGACUAUUUAUUUGCAGUACAGUUCGACGUAGUAGAUACAAGCAUCAAACUUCUGUUGCCAUACUUUUCUAGACCUAGAACCGUCAAGCACCCAUGCACGCAAUAAGAACCUAUGCAUGAUAACAAAGCCCUUCAUCUCUAGUUGUUGGAACCAUGUGUACUCUCUUUCUUACCACCAUCCGCACCACCCCAUGGCAUGUUGCCAGGGCUGCUGAUCACAUAAUUGUUAUCCUUAUCUCUUGGAAUUUCAUGGUGGUUGCUAACAGUGGUCCCAGGGUAAACUGUCUCAGCUUGGCCUCCUGCAUCGGUUUCUUCCAUCAACAAUUUCCGAGGCAUCACCAUGCAUGAGCUCAACGUAACCAUUCCAAGAAGAAUAAUGAAGACCAACUUCAUCCUUUCAAUCUGAUUACUGCUGCAAGAACAUGAAAAAGUAAUCUCAAUAUUCUAUAAUCACAGGUGUUUAAAGGGAUAUAUAACAUAGGAUUCAAAAUCAAAACAUACUACAAAUAAUAACUUAAUACCCAAACUUAAAAGAGAAUACGAAGACUUCUGUCGGGA
Molecule: long non-coding RNA, 642 nt
Filed under: Phoenix dactylifera (date palm)
Lineage: Eukaryota; Viridiplantae; Streptophyta; Magnoliopsida; Arecales; Arecaceae
Description: long non-coding RNA (PDAC_LNC008715)
Source: RNAcentral